AACUGCAGCAGGAGGCGCUCCCACGACUGUGCCUGGGUUGUUCCUGCGUGCUUUGUCUAGAUUUGAUGGUGUGCGACAGUGUGGCUGGCACUUUGUUUCAGACGGCUACUACAUCUACCUGCAUGGAAGCUCCUAUUACGAAUACUUGGUGUCUCAGCUGGUCAGCCCGGUGUGCAACUCAACGGGACCGCACUGCUUCCGCUUCUGGUACCACAUGUACGGCGUGGCUGAAGAAAUGGCCCUGCGGGUGUACGUGACUAGGGACAAAGAACUUCUGCAGGUUUGGGAAGCAACUGGGAACCACGGGGACAGAUGGCACUUGGGAGAGGUCACGGUGCACAGCACAGGAAACAUGCAGAUUAUCCUCGAGGGACAAUGGGGGGAAGAUUUCCGCAGUGACGUGGCACUGGAUGAUCUGUCCAUUGAAAAGGGAUACUGCCCAGGUACCUCAUCACCCGGCUUGGGAAAGGGCAGCUUGCUUGUCGUGGCAGUCAAUGUAGCUUCUGCCUUGAAGAGAAUCUGGUCAAGGGCGAUUGAUUGACAUAUUCCAUUGUGUCUCUCGUAGGCGAUGGGACUCCAACGCCUGGCACCAGCACACCAACACCUGGGACACCAACACCCUCGCCAGGCUCAGGUGAGUGGAGCAGACGAGUCACGGGGCUGCAGCGUUCGGUCAGGGUGGGCUGUGGAGAGGAGGCGGCAGGAGGUGCAUCACUGAACGUUUCCUCUGGUCCUUCCUCUGUCAGGGACCUGUGUGGUGGAAGGAGACCCUCACUACCUGUGACGUUCUCCCGCACAGAUUCUGUGGGAAUGAAUAGUCAGAGAUCAUGGGUGUUCUUUUCUUUUACGUUCCUUGUCCUUAAGUCUUGUGGCUAAGGUUUAAGAUCCUGGACCCUCUCAUUGCCACAGGAAAUCUGCUGGGUGUGCACAAUACUUCCUAGACUUGCAGUCCAGGGAGGCUUGCCUUCUCUGCCAGAGGAGUCCUGCCCAGAAUGUUCUUGUGUGCUUGACAGCCUUGCUUGUGCUUAGUGUGGAAGCAGCCUGUCCAGGGUGUAGUGUCAUCAGCAUUUGUUUGAGUAGACGAGUCAUGGUGCUGCAGUGUUCUGGUCAGGAUGGGCUGUGGAGAUGAGGUGGCAGGAUGUGCUUAACUGGGCAGUGCACUGGGUCUGACUUGAAUGAAGUACCUUCUUGUGCGAAGACCUUUUUUGAUAGUGAUACACAGUCAUUCUUGCUGUACGCACAGUUUUCCAUAAUGUUUGCAUAAUUGGGAAGGGUGGAAGAGCUGCCUGAAAGAAAUCUUCAUUCUGAAAAGCAGCUUCUGUAUCUCCAUCUUGUUCUACAUCCAACAGAUCCUACUGCCUUGCCAAAUGUUACUACACAGCCUCCAUGGACAACAAAACCUGGAGUAAGCACAGGUAUGCCUGUCCCCUGUUCAUCUUUUCUACAAGCUGUGGUCAGCACUGGGCUAGAGUUCUUAUCUUGUCAGGCCAUUCU
Molecule: long non-coding RNA, 1494 nt
Filed under: Anas zonorhyncha (Eastern spot-billed duck)
Lineage: Eukaryota; Metazoa; Chordata; Aves; Anseriformes; Anatidae
Description: lncRNA (ENSAZOG00000002250.1)
Source: RNAcentral